Molecule: ribosomal RNA, 906 nt
Filed under: uncultured bacterium
Lineage: Bacteria
Description: bacterial SSU rRNA
Rfam family: Bacterial small subunit ribosomal RNA
Source: RNAcentral
UCAGACAUGCAAGUCGAACGAUUAAACUUCCCUUCGGGGAAGAUAUAAAGUGGCGCACGGGUGAGUAACACGUAAGUAAUCUACCUUCGAGUGGGGAAUAACAGUCGGAAACGGCUGCUAAUACCGCAUAAUGCAGCGGCACCUAAUGGUGACAGUUGUUAAAGGAGCAAUUCGCUUGAAGAGGAGCUUGCGGCAGAUUAGCUAGUUGGUAAGGUAACGGCUUACCAAGGCUACGAUCUGUAACCGGUCUAAGAGGACGGUCGGUCACACUGACACUGAAUAACGGGUCAGACUCCUACGGGAGGCAGCAGUCGGGAAUUUUGGGCAAUGGGCGAAAGCCUGACCCAGCAACGCCGCGUGAAGGAUGAAGUAUUUCGGUAUGUAAACUUCGAAAGAAUGGGAAGAAUCAAUGACGGUACCAUUUAUAAGGUCCGGCUAACUACGUGCCAGCAGCCGCGGUAAUACGUAGGGACCAAGCGUUGUUCGGAUUUACUGGGCGUAAAGGGCGCGUAGGCGGCAAUUCAAGUCAUCUGUGAAAUCUCCGGGCUUAACCCGGAACGGUCAGAUGAUACUGCUUUGCUAGAGUGCGGAAGGGGCAAUCGGAAUUCUCGGUGUAGCGGUGAAAUGCGUAGAUAUCGAGAGGAACACCAGAGGUGAAGACGGGUUGCUGGGCCGACACUGACGCUGACAGCGCGAAAGCCAGGGGAGCAAACGGGAUUAGAUACCCCGGUAGUCCUGGCCCUAAACGAUGAAUACUUGGUGUCUGGAGUUAUUAGUGCUCCGGGUGCCGUCGCUAACGUUUUUAGUAUUCCGCCUGGGGAGUACGCUCGCAAGAGUGAAACUCAAAGGAAUUGACGGGGACCCGCACAAGCGGUGGAGCAUGUGGUUUAAUUCGACGCAACGCGA